Molecule: long non-coding RNA, 826 nt
Organism: Anneissia japonica
Lineage: Eukaryota; Metazoa; Echinodermata; Crinoidea; Comatulida; Comatulidae
Exons: 3
Source: RefSeq, a predicted model, not a curated record
AGUUUUGGGAGCCAGGAGUUGAAAGUGCUGACAUCUAGAAUGAAGCACACAUGUUAUACGUUUUGUGUCCUUUGCUGGAGAAGUCUGUGAGAAAUGCACUUCCACAGUUUAAAAGGAUGCCUGGAAAACGACUAUACCCCAUGCCGGAAGGAACUGAUAACGACAGGCAAACUUCGGAGGAUGUUCAAGAACAAGCAACUAGUGCAGAUGAAUGUCUUGGUUAUCUGGAGGACAAGAAUCGGCCACAAUACCGCCAAUAAAAUUGGACUGGAAAGGGGAACAACUGGGUCUCAUUUGGGACAGAAUCCAACAAGUAUGCAAUGAUAACAGAUAAUUUUCAAUGUCAGAGUGUAUAGUGGAUAUGCUUACAGAAUGGAUGUAACAACAAAACUACGAGACAAGUCAAGUUGAGAUAGUGCAGAGCUUUGAAUGAGCAAGGACUCACAGAGAUUGCCAACAGGGUCUUUAGUUCUGAGUUAAUAUCAAGAGUUCACGAUGGAUAAACACUUCAUAGUUCUUAAAACGGUUUUUCUCAAACUGGUAUGACGAAUGUAGAUGUCUUACUAUGUUGAAAGUGUUGUUCAGAGAUAGCGUGCAACAUGGGACACUAGCAAAAAUGUCUAAGACGAUGGACUUGCUGAAUGAUUUGCUUGUACGUGAUUCAAAGGAUCUGACUUUACUGUGUGAUACCAUCAGAGUAAAUGGACAAUAUGGUCUUCAAACAAAGAUUCAAGAAACACUGUCAUCAUUCCUAAAUGUUAAAGAAAGGAAAAUUUCAACAAAAUAAAUCACACCUCACAGGCAAAAGCUGAUAGAAUUGGGGGAG